This 854-nucleotide ribosomal RNA is filed under the name uncultured organism. Its description in RNAcentral is "bacterial SSU rRNA". It matches the Rfam family "Archaeal small subunit ribosomal RNA", at positions 477 to 1338 of the family's 1478-position model. The record is from RNAcentral.
CAGCUCUCCGAGUGGUGGGGACGCUUAUUGGGCCUAAAGCAUCCGUAGCCGGCUGGGCAAGUCCUCCGUUAAAUCCAACGAUUCAAUCGUUGGGCUGCGGGGGAUACUGUCCAGCUUGGGGGCGGGAGAGGCCGACGGUAUUCCCGGGGUAGGGGUGAAAUCCUAUAAUCCCGGGAGGACCACCAGUGGCGAAGGCUGUCGGCUAGAACGCGCCCGACGGUGAGGGAUGAAAGCUGGGGGAGCGAACCGGAUUAGAUACCCGGGUAGUCCCAGCUGUAAACGAUGCAGACUAGGUGUUAGAACGGCCACGAGCCGUUCUAGUGCCGCAGGGAAGCCGUUAAGCCUGCCGCCUGGGGAGUACGGCCGCAAGGCUGAAACUUAAAGGAAUUGGCGGGGGAGCACCACAAGGGGUGAAGCUUGCGGUUUAAUUGGAGUCAACGCCGGAAACCUCACCGGGGGCGACAGCAGGGUGAAGGCCAGAUUGAAGGUCUUGCCAGACAAGCUGAGAGGAGGUGCAUGGCCGUCGCCAGUUCGUGCCGUGAGGUGUCCUGUUAAGUCAGGCAACGAUCGAGACCCGCAUCCCCUGUUGCUACCAGCCUUGAGCUGGGCACACUGGGGAGACCGCCGCCGAUAAGGCGGAGGAAGGAGCGGGCCACGGCAGGUCAGUAUGCCCCGAAUCCCCCGGGCCACACGCGAGCUGCAAUGGCAGGUACAAUGGGUUCCAACCCCGAAAGGGGAAGGUAAUCCCUAAAGCCUGCCGUAGUUGGGAUCGAGGGUUGAAACUCACCCUCGUGAACAUGGAAUCCCUAGUAAUCGCGCGUCACUAUCGCGCGGUGAAUACGUCCCUGCUCCUU